Molecule: ribosomal RNA, 505 nt
Filed under: uncultured bacterium
Lineage: Bacteria
Description: partial 16S ribosomal RNA
Rfam family: Bacterial small subunit ribosomal RNA
Source: RNAcentral
GACGAACGCUGGCGGCGUGCCUAAUACAUGCAAGUAGAACGCAGAGUGUAUACCGUAGCUCUCUCCACCAUAGACUGUGAGGUGCGAACGGGUGAGUAACGCGUAGGUAACCUGCGGGGUAGCGGGGGAUAACUCUUGGGAACGAACGCUAAUACCGCAGAAGUUUCAUUAUUUCAUGAUAAUAGAUGCAAAUAUGCUAUUGCAUCACUACCAGAUGUACUUGCGUUGUAUUAGCUAGUAGGUGAGGUAACGGCGCACCUAGGCGACGAUACAUAGCCGACCUGAGAGGGUGAUCGGCCACACUGGGACUGAGACACGGCCCAGACUCCUACGGGAGGCAGCAGUAGGGAAUCUUCGGCAAUGGACGGAAGUCUGACCGAGCAACGCCGCGUGAGUGAAGAAGGUUUUCGGAUCGUAAAGCUCUGUUGUAAGAGAAGAACGGGUGUGAGAGUGGAAAGUUCACACUGUGACGGUAUCUUACCAGAAAGGGACGGCUAACUACGUG